CAGGGGGUAGUUUAAUAAGAAAUCCAGCUUUGGGUGGUGGUGGUGGGGCUUUGGCCUCUCCCCUG
RNAcentral lists this transfer RNA (65 nucleotides) under Camelus dromedarius (Arabian camel). Its description in RNAcentral is "tRNA-Pro". Lineage: Eukaryota; Metazoa; Chordata; Mammalia; Artiodactyla; Camelidae. The record is from RNAcentral.